Molecule: small nuclear RNA, 104 nt
Organism: Nycticebus coucang (slow loris)
Lineage: Eukaryota; Metazoa; Chordata; Mammalia; Primates; Lorisidae
Source: RefSeq, a predicted model, not a curated record
GCCUUUCUGUGCUUGCUUCAGCAGCAAUUGGAACGAUACAAAGAAGAUUAGCAUGGCCCCUAUGCAAGGAUGACACGUAAAUUCGUGAAGCGUUCCAUUUUUUU